AGUGAACGCUGGCGGUAGGCCUAACACAUGCAAGUCGAACGGCAGCACAGUAAGAGCUUGCUCUUACGGGUGGCGAGUGGCGGACGGGUGAGGAAUACAUCGGAAUCUACUUUUUCGUGGGGGAUAACGUAGGGAAACUUACGCUAAUACCGCAUACGACCUACGGGUGAAAGCAGGGGAUCUUCGGACCUUGCGCGAUUGAAUGAGCCGAUGUCGGAUUAGCUAGUUGGCGGGGUAAAGGCCCACCAAGGCGACGAUCCGUAGCUGGUCUGAGAGGAUGAUCAGCCACACUGGACAUGAGACACAGUCCAGACUCCUACGGGAGGCAGCAGUGGGGAAUAUUGGACAAUGGGCGCAAGCCUGAUCCAGCCAUACCGCGUGGGUGAAGAAGGCCUUCGGGUUGUAAAGCCCUUUUGUUGGGAAAGAAAAGCAGCAGGUUAAUACCCCGCUGUUCUGACGGUACCCAAAGAAUAAGCACCGGCUAACUUCGUG
This 492-nucleotide ribosomal RNA is filed under the name uncultured bacterium. RNAcentral's name for it is "partial 16S ribosomal RNA". It matches the Rfam family "Bacterial small subunit ribosomal RNA", at positions 29 to 507 of the family's 1533-position model. The record is from RNAcentral.